Molecule: RNA transcript, 1769 nt
Organism: Dermacentor andersoni
Lineage: Eukaryota; Metazoa; Arthropoda; Arachnida; Ixodida; Ixodidae
Source: RefSeq, a predicted model, not a curated record
CUUUGUAGAUAGCAGAGGGAAGGAAGAAAUAUAUGGGCUGUGUACAUGCUAUGUCAUAUAUCCAAGUGCCUGUGCCGCCCCUGACAAGAGCAUUUUACGCGGCAGUAGCCGUCAUCGCAUUCCGCAGACCGACAACCAUGAAGGGGACACUGCUUGCUUACAGUUUCCUUCUGCUUGGGCUCCUUAUCAGUACACCUUCAGGCAAGUGCUCGAAGUCGAGAGCAGGGUCAGAUAGUAAAUAGGCUUGUAUGAACUUCCAGUCUACGAACAGCUCAUCCCAAGCAAUCCUAAUCCACGGCGUCAUAAAAAAUACAGCAAAUAUCCGAAAUAUAGCCUUAGGACAUUCCACAACGACGUAUAUUUCGCCUCGCUUGAACCACAAGGAACUGUAAAAUUUUGUUCGCUAUGCUUCAUAAAACCAGUCAUAUGCACAGCACGACACUAUACACCACAAUACCACGUCAGCGAUGAAUAUUUAUAAAGCUAGUGUUGUGUAAACUUAGAAGAAUAGUGAGAAAAUAUUUCGGUCUUUUUUAAGUCAUUAGCGCUAGUAUUUUCUAUUAGUUCGGUCAUAUAGAUUUCGAUACCACUAGGAGUGUAGGAAUAAAUAUCGGGUAUCCACAGAUAUACUUGCGAACAAGUGUCCUUACUACACGUAUUAUCACCAGACUGCAUGCAAUUGCAUAUGCUUCAAUACCGAGCAACGUGUGUCUAUAGUUGCAGCGAUUGACACGAUGGCAUAACACUAGCAUGUCAUCCUCAGUUGAUGUCUCAAUUUCCUCAAAUCAUUAUAUUAAGCAGAAGUGGGACGCAUAAUUUUAAUUGUAUUUUUAUGUGAACUAUAGGAGGCUGCUUAUAUUCUAACAGUUGAUACAAGUAGAAAAAUAUUAAGAAAUAGUGCGCCAACACUACGAACGAAGGAAAUUUAGUAACGCUUCCUGGCAAUCAGUUUUGAUCAGGAUUAUAUAAAGAAGAAACACCCAUGAGGCGUAUUACAUGGUUUUACAUGAAUGAAGUCUCAUUGAAGUUUGUAGAGGUCGAUAGACGUUUCCUACCCAUGCAUCGUUGCAUAAGGUGCGCCGACAAAUCCGAAUGCUGUAUACCCACUCAUAAAUUCUUGCGACUUUAAGAAAAAAACAUAUUUCGAACAUAAACAAACUCAGUCGCAACAUAAGAAAUAUAAAAUUUCAGCCUCCGUUAGCUGUAUCUAUUUUAUUCUUUCUGUGUCGAGCAUUUUUCAAAGUGUAGCGUAAUCGUCUUUAAAAUCUUGUAGUGGCUACUUUGGCACCAUGGAUGGAUGGUCGGAAAUGUUUUAUUGUGUUUGAUUGGAACGUGCAUUCAGGUCCAUCGGAACGUAGCGGGCCACUCACACGACGGGACAGAAAGGCCUAGCCUCUCCGCCACGUCGCGGGCCCGUUGGACUGCCCAUAGUUCAGCUUCAAAAUCGGGACUGCGCGCUUCUGAGUGUUCCACAGAGUGCCCAAGCGGACAACAGUUUUCCUGCUUCAGCUUCCAAGGAACUUGCUCGUGUACUUGCUUGGAAAACUCCAACCCCUGCGAAUAUCUUCGGGGCAACACUUGUCCCGAAGGAUAUUUCCGCAGGUGCGUCAGUGACUCUCAGGGAUGUACUUGCAGAUGCGAUCUAUAAUGAAUGCCUUGGUCCAGGUGUCCGUCGGCCGUCUACAUGGUAUCGAUUCUUGAUGAGACAAGACUAUUCGACGACCUAACGAGAAACCAAGAAAAUAAAUUGUGCAUCGUUGCUCGUUCCA